This 516-nucleotide ribosomal RNA is filed under the name uncultured bacterium. RNAcentral describes it as "bacterial SSU rRNA". It matches the Rfam family "Bacterial small subunit ribosomal RNA", at positions 75 to 573 of the family's 1533-position model. The record is from RNAcentral.
AGUGCUUGCACUUCUAUUCACUCAGCGGCGGACGGGUGAGUAACACGUAGGUAACCUGCCUGUAAGACUGGGAUAACUACCGGAAACGGUAGCUAAUACCGGAUAAUUUGUUUCCUCACCUGAGGAGACACUGAAAGGCGGAGCAAUCUGUCACUUAUAGAUGGGCCUGCGGCGCAUUAGCUAGUUGGUGAGGUAACGGCUCACCAAGGCGACGAUGCGUAGCCGACCUGAGAGGGUGAACGGCCACACUGGGACUGAGACACGGCCCAGACUCCUACGGGAGGCAGCAGUAGGGAAUCUUCCGCAAUGGACGAAAGUCUGACGGAGCAACGCCGCGUGAGUGAUGAAGGUUUUCGGAUCGUAAAGCUCUGUUGCCAGGGAAGAAGAUUUGGGAGAGUAACUGCUCUCAAAGUGACGGUACCUGAGAAGAAAGCCCCGGCUAACUACGUGCCAGCAGCCGCGGUAAUACGUAGGGGGCAAGCGUUGUCCGGAAUUAUUGGGCGUAAAGCGCGCGCA